Molecule: ribosomal RNA, 491 nt
Filed under: uncultured bacterium
Lineage: Bacteria
Description: partial 16S ribosomal RNA
Rfam family: Bacterial small subunit ribosomal RNA
Source: RNAcentral
AGUGAACGCUGGCGGUAGGCCUAACACAUGCAAGUCGAACGGCAGCACAGUAAGAGCUUGCUCUUACGGGUGGCGAGUGGCGGACGGGUGAGGAAUACAUCGGAAUCUACUUUUUCGUGGGGGAUAACGUAGGGAAACUUACGCUAAUACCGCGUACGACCUACGGGUGAAAGCAGGGGAUCUUCGGACCUUGCGCGAUUGAAUGAGCCGAUGUCGGAUUAGCUAGUUGGCGGGGUAAAGGCCCACCAAGGCGACGAUCCGUAGCUGGUCUGAGAGGAUGAUCAGCCACACUGGAACUGAGACACGGUCCAGACUCCUACGGGAGGCAGCAGUGGGGAAUAUUGGACAGUGGGCGCAAGCCUGAUCCAGCCAUACCGCGUGGGUGAAGAAGGCCUUCGGGUUGUAAAGCCCUUUUGUUGGGAAAGAAAAGCAGCAGGUUAAUACCCCGCUGUUCUGACGGUACCCAAAGAAUAAGCACCGGCUAACUUCGU